This 274-nucleotide ribosomal RNA is filed under the name uncultured bacterium. RNAcentral's name for it is "partial 16S ribosomal RNA". It matches the Rfam family "Bacterial small subunit ribosomal RNA", at positions 523 to 796 of the family's 1533-position model. The record is from RNAcentral.
AUACGGAGGGUGCAAGCGUUAAUCGGAAUUACUGGGCGUAAAGCGUACGUAGGCGGUUAUUUAAGUCAGAUGUGAAAGCCCUGGGCUCAACCUGGGAACUGCAUAUGAUACUGGCAAACUUGAGUAUGGUAGAGGGGGGUAGAAUUCCUAGUGUAGCGGUGAAAUGCGUAGAUAUUAGGAGGAAUACCAGUGGCGAAGGCGGCCCCCUGGACCAAUCCUGACACUGAGGUACGAAAGCGUGGGUAGCGAACAGGAUUAGAUACCCCAGUAGUCC